AUUGAACGCUGGCGGCAGGCCUAACACAUGCAAGUCGAGCGGAUGAAGGGAGCUUGCUCCUGGAUUCAGCGGCGGACGGGUGAGUAAUGCCUAGGAAUCUGCCUGGUAGUGGGGGAUAACGUCCGGAAACGGGCGCUAAUACCGCAUACGUCCUGAGGGAGAAAGUGGGGGAGCUUCGGACCUCACGCUAUCAGAUGAGCCUAGGUCGGAUUAGCUAGUUGGUGGGGUAAAGGCCUACCAAGGCGACGAUCCGUAACUGGUCUGAGAGGAUGAUCAGUCACACUGGAACUGAGACACGGUCCAGACUCCUACGGGAGGCAGCAGUGGGGAAUAUUGGACAAUGGGCGAAAGCCUGAUCCAGCCAUGCCGCGUGUGUGAAGAAGGUCUUCGGAUUGUAAAGCACUUUAAGUUGGGAGGAAGGGCAGUAAGUUAAUACCUUGCUGUUUUGACGUUACCAACAGAAUAAGCACCGGCUAACUUCGUG
This 484-nucleotide ribosomal RNA is filed under the name uncultured bacterium. RNAcentral's name for it is "partial 16S ribosomal RNA". It matches the Rfam family "Bacterial small subunit ribosomal RNA", at positions 30 to 507 of the family's 1533-position model. The record is from RNAcentral.